This 241-nucleotide long non-coding RNA is filed under the name Solanum tuberosum (potato). RNAcentral describes it as "long non-coding RNA (STUB_LNC003849)". Lineage: Eukaryota; Viridiplantae; Streptophyta; Magnoliopsida; Solanales; Solanaceae. The record is from RNAcentral.
UAGAUGAUCAAAGCAACAAGGAUAGUGAGAAACAUCUUCCUCUAAAUCACAGUCAUGCCAACAAUGAAGAUUCCAAUCAAGGCCAAUGUGAUAUUGAGAGUAGAAGCAAAGAGCCUUCAGAUCCUGAGAUCAAUAAUAAGGACCCUGAACACCAAUCCAAGGACACUAAUAAUGAAGAGUCCAAAACUGUUGAAUCUAACACAACUUUUGACUUAGGCAGUAAUUCUACUUUCAUUAUGAC